Molecule: ribosomal RNA, 446 nt
Filed under: uncultured bacterium
Lineage: Bacteria
Description: partial 16S ribosomal RNA
Rfam family: Bacterial small subunit ribosomal RNA
Source: RNAcentral
GUAAGGAAUAUUGGUCAAUGGGGGCAACCCUGAACCAGCCAUGCCGCGUGAAGGAUGAAGGCGUUAUGCGUUGUAAACUUCUUUUGUAUGGGAAGAAUGACAGGGAUUUAUCCUUGGAGAGACGGUACCAUACGAAUAAGCACCGGCUACCUCCGUGCCAGCAGCCGCGGUAAUACGGAGGGUGCAAGCGUUAUCCGGAAUCACUGGGUUUAAAGGGUACGUAGGCGGUUAAUUAAGUCAGUAGUGAAAGACUGUCGCUCAACGACGGAUGUGCUAUUGAUACUGGUUAACUUGAAUCAGGUUAGAGUUGGCGGAAUGGGUCAUGUAGCGGUGAAAUGCUUAGAUAUGACUUGGAACACCGAUAGCGAAGGCAGCUGACUGAGCCUUGAUUGACGCUGAGGUACGAAAGCGUGGGGAUCGAACAGGAUUAGAUACCCCUGUAGUCC